UUCCUUAUUUUUUCAGCUAUUUUUUUUUUCCUUAUUCUUCUUCUUUUUGGCAGAACUUCUUCUCAAUUUUGGCUGAAAAUUCAAGUUCCCCGCUAAAGUUUUCCUUCCCGCGGCCUCAAAUGUCUAGUGCCCCUAAAAUUCUAGAGCCCCCUCAACUCACGGUACUGCUAUACGAAUAAGUGCGCGCUGAAGGCAGAAAACGGUUCUCUCUCAGGUCUCUUUCAUGGAGAAACUCACGGACUACUAGCUCUGAACCUCCCAUCCAUGACUGCCCAAGGGUUUGCCUCAACCAAACUCCCAAGGUAACUCGAACCACUAUCACCGUCUCGAUGUCUAUACNNNNNNNNNNNNNNNNNNNNGGGAGAGGGAGAGGGAGAGGGCGGCGACCGGGAGAGGGAGCGGAGGCGGAGGAGGGGAAAUUCGGAGAGGGAGAGGAGGCGGAGGCUAGGGCUUUCAACCAGUCGAGCGCUGGGUUAUACCCGAAAACUUUAGCCGACAAAAUUAUUAUUUUGUCGACUAAAGAUAAUAAUUUCGUCGGCUAAAAUAAUAAUCUCAUCGGCUAAGAUAAAAUUCGUCGGCUAAACCUUUGAAAUUCGUCGGCUAAACCUAUGAUAUUCGUCGGCUAAACAAUAAAUUCCUCGGCUAAACCUUUAAAAUUCGUCAGCUAUAGUACUUUUUAUACAUUCGUCAAACUGUGCUUGUGAUUGUGAUGAUCAUAUUUGAGAAACGAAAAUCCGACCGUCAGAUCUGACCAUCAUGAUAAAAUACAAGUAUGGGAAAACACUUGAACUUGAUCCGACAAGGUGAAGGGCUCGAUCCGGACGGUCAAUCCAUUAAGUCAAACCCCUAAACGCACGGAAAAGGUCAUUGGACUGUCUAAAUUACGUAUUUUGGCCGGACCUUCAACUAAAAAUAGUUUCAAACCGAUGAGACGCAACAAGUCGUAUAAAAAUUUUACGCAAAAUAACCACCGAAGAUACGGCUACUCAUAGGGAGAAAGAAUAAAAAAUUCCAUUAACCGCAACUAUCGGCCUCUCUUCUUUACCGGAAUACUGUGAUUUUUCAACCAUAGAUGUAUUUCGCCAUUCUGGUCAUAUCUUAUUUCACGACUUUUUUUGCGUUUGAAGGUUUUACGUAUAGUUUGUUUUUGAAACAGAACAUUUACUUAAUACUUGGUAAAUAAGUUAUACAACAUUAGUAGGUAUGUUGUGGUUAUGAUGAUCAAACUUGAGAAACGGAAAUCCGACUGUCAGAUCUGACAAUCAUGAUAAAAUACAUGUAUGGGAAAAAAUGCAACUUGAUCCGACAAGGUUAAGUGCUCGAUCCGGACGGUCAAUCCCGUAAGUUAAACCCCUAAAUGUACGGAAAAGGUCGUUGGACCGUCUAAAUUUGGUAUUUUGGCCGGACUUUCAACUGAAAAUAUUUUCAAAUCGAUGAGACGCAACAAGUCGUAUAAAAAUUUUACGCAAAAUAACCACCGAAGAUAGGGCUACAGUAUGUAACAGAAAAAGUUUAGGGUUUAGCCGACGAAUACCCUAAUACAUUCGUCGGCUAUAGUAUGUAAUAAAAAAUAAAAAAAAGUAAUAAAGCCGACGAAAUAGUAGGGUAUUCGUCGGCUAAGAUGGUUUUAGCCGACGACUUCUAAUAUACUUCGUCGGCUAAGAUGGUUUUAGCCGACGACUUAUAAUUGACUUCGUCGGCUAAGAUGGUUUUAGCCGACGACUUCUAAUAUACUUCUUCGGCUAAGAUUGUUUUAGCCGACGACUUCUAAUAUAAUUCGUCAGCUAAGAUUGUUUUAGCCGACGACUCAUAAUGUAAUUCGUCUGCUAAUAUGGUUUUAGCCGACGACUUCUAUUAUAAUUCGUCGGCUAAGGUGGUUUAGCCCGACCAAUUAAUGCGUAUUUCGUCAGCUUAAGUAAAAAAAUACAAACCCUAAAACAGAAAGUUUAAACCAUACUAAUUUCCUGUUCAUAUAUCACCAAAAUUCAUAUAAAAUAAUAGAAAUAUGAAUUCAACAUAUGUAAACUAUAAAUUAAGGUAAUACAAUCUUUUUUAUUAUAAAUUAAUGUAUUACGUCCUCUAAAUUAAAACUAAGGUUCGUAAUCGGAAUCAUCCGAUGAGUCUUCUUCGGUGUCAGAAUUAAUUUCUGGUAAUCUAUGCCUUUCCUCAUCGCCAGAGUCUUCGUCUGUUUCUUGAUUUGGAUCAACAUCAAUAAGCCUUGGCUCUUCAUCAUGAAUUCGCACCGAAGAGGCGAACGGUAGAGGAGUUAGGAAUACCUAUUGCGUUGGUCUCUUGAUACGCAACAUCUUCUUCCUGGUCUUCGGCCUCUCCAAGUGUAGCCGCACGGUAAAUGUUUCGAGGGUGCACAAGGUUGACUACUUUCCACGCGUCACCCUUAGCAAGGUCAUCAAGAUAAAACACUUGUUUUACCGAUGUGGCAAAAACGAACGGGUCAUCUUCGUAAGAACUUGUAGCAGUGUUCACCGAUAAUAUUCCGUACUGAUCGGUCUUCAUGCUCUGCGGGCUAGUAUCAAACCAUCUACACUUGAAGAGGUGCAUUGUCAUGCCUUCACCGUAAACGAGUUCCACCACUGAAUGGAGAACACCGUAAUAGUCAACUCCAUUCCGCCCACCAUGCGCCAUCACCCCAGAAUUUUGUGUUCUCCGUCUGCUGUCUUUCUGUUUACAUAUAAAUUGCACGCCAUUCACCUUACACAUCGGAUAAACUCUUAACAUUAUCGGCUUCAUCGCUAGAAGUCUUAGCUCGUGCGACCAAUUUGGGUGACCAUCAAAUUGAAUAUGGUUCAUCUGCAACCAACCAUUCAACAUUGUAAAUAUGGAUAAUUAUGCAAUAAACAUAAAUACGUACAUAAAUAUUGAAUUACGUACCCAGCCGCCAAAAUAGUUUGCGAAAUCCCUGUUGUGGUACUCGAGAUCACCAUGAAUGUCUGGACAAUAUAGAUGGAUGUCUUUCCAGUAUUCAACUUCUGGACAGUUAAUCAAUACCCACCAGUGGCCAAUGACUAGCUCAUGUGGUUGCAACUUGUAAGAGUCUGGCAUAAACUUCAACAUCACUAGAGAGUAUGGAAAGAUUGAACUUCGGUACAUCUACCGGUAUGGCUUCGUCUGUUUCCUUCAAUGCUCCUAAAUACAACUUUAUGUAGGUGACGCACUCGUGCGCAAUAUAUGCUUCACCUAUACAUCCUUCAGGCGCGGAUUUAUUAGCCACAUAAUCUUUGUAGUCUCCAAGUUGCCUAUAAAUCAAGUUGCAAAGUGUUAUGAUUAUUCAACAUGUAUAUAUAUAUUGAGGAAUUCAGGUGUAAAAAACGUACCUUUCCAUGGGAUACAUCCAAGUGUAGUGUACUGGACCGGUAAGCAACAAUUGCUCGGGAAGAUGGAUCAUCAGGUGAGGCAUGAUGUCAAAAAAAUUUGGAGAAAAUAUCCUCUCAAAAUUUACACAUGAUAUAAAUGAUGUCCUCUUGCAUUUCCCAGAGGUUAGAUUUUUUCACUUCCCGUGUGCAUANNNNNNNNNNNNNNNNNNNNGAUUCUUUUAUUUUAUGGUUCAAUCAGAAAGGAUUAAGAGUGAGAAACAGUGGGAGUGAAUUAUUUCACUUAUCUUCUAUAUAUUGGAAGUCUUCAGUUUGCAUGAUAGAAAAGGAAUUUCUUUGGGUAUCUUGCUUCUGUAAGAAUAAGAAAAAUUCAGUCCUGAUCUUAUUCUGCAGCAAAUAAACAUUUAAAUGUAUCUUGAAUAAGUGAUGUUGUUUGGCUCAGUAAAGAGUAUUUGAGUUUUAGUUUAAGGUUUCUGCAUGAUAAGGAUAUUUAUUUAUUAAGUAGACUGGUGAUUUGUGAUUUCUAACAUGAGGUCUGAACAACUUUUCAAGUUUUGUUAUAUAUGCACUUGAUGAAAAUUACAGAGACCGUCUGAUGAUCAAUGCUAAAUUCUAUGUCGUGUGAAGAGAAUUCAUGGUUUGAAUUGUCUUAAUUGGUCUGGGUGUAUGAUUUAUUGUGAUACAUUAUGAAUUGUGAACUUUAAUAGUUCCAUAGAAAAUGGUUUUAACAUGCUUAGGCAGCGUAUGCAUGUCUAGUUUUGUUGUGUUAUUCAAGUAUAAGCUAUAACGUAUUUUUUGUGUUACAGCUUGGUUCCUCAAACUCCCCUACAACUGCACCAAUCUCAAAAUCUGCUCAUGGAGAUUACGAAGCACGCGCACCUUGAUCUCUGGCUGCUAGCAAUACAGAAUGUUCUCGGAGAAACUUUAUUCUAUCAAUAUGUAGCAACAUAACCUCUAAAUUCAGUUCUUGCUUAUGGAUGUUAUAGUUGAUGCUUUUUCCACAUGUAUAAACAAUGUAGUUGAAUUGAGUUUGAUUUUUAUGAAUCUUCUUAGUCUAUGUUUUGCUCAAUGUUUCAGAAUCCAAGAAAAUUAUAAUAAUUAAAAUUGAAUUGGUGGGAAAAAUAAUUAAAAUUAAAUGUAAUUUUUGAUAAUAAAAAAAUCAAAUGUAAUUACAUUUAUAGAAAAUAUUUAUUUCGACGACAUUGUUGGUCGAAAAUCGUAGAAAAAAAAUUACUGACAACAACUACAAUUGGGAACAAUUCGUCGGGAAAAAGUUUUUCGACAAGGAGAUUUGUCGAAACUAAGUCGUCGGAAAUUUAUUUUCCGACAAAUAUAUGGUCGAAACUAACCCGUCAAAACUAGAACUAUUCCCGACGAGCUACCGACGACUUAUUUUUGGACGAAACAAAUAAUAAGUUCCGACCAAUUUCCGACAGGUAUUUUCGUCAGAAAUAAGGAAGAAUUUCCGACGAUUCGUCAGAAAGAUAGUAUUUCCCACGGGAGUAUUAACGACGCCUUCGGACGAGAAAUAUUUCGUUGGAAACAGCAUUCUCAACGAGAAAACGGCUUUUACCGACAAUUUCCAUUGUCUGAAAUUACAAUGUGUGUUGUAGUGAAAAUGCUUCGAUGCAACAAGGGAGUUGAGAACCGUAAAAAAAACAAGGGAGUUGAGAACCGUCAAUGUCUUCAAAGAGUUGGAGCCCCACGUGUUUGGAAGAACAAGUAAAAUUGCAACCUGCACACGCAAUAGAAAUUCUUAAAAUAAGUUUUAGCAAGAAAUAUGUGUGUCGGUGAGUUGUGGUUUAGUUAGUUAGGUAGAUUAACCAACAACAAACUGAAAAUUAUUGAAUUUAUUCCAGCUGAAGGCUUCUCGAUCUUACUUGUGGAACAGGAAGAACACACACCGCUAGCCCCAGUAGUUUCCCAAGGGCAGGGGACUUCCCCCAGCCAUCUUUGAUGCGAACAUAUAUUCUGAUUAGGUAACGAGAAUCUCCCACAGAUCGGAAAACUCUCUUGUCCAAUGUAAGACGCUUGGUCUCCUCGUUGAUAAGAGGAACAUACAGAAACAGAACAUCCAGUAACAGAUACAACAUAGAUGAUAGGAAAAAUAUUCCAUCACGACUGGAAUUAUCCAGUAGUAUUUGUCAGGGUGGAAUUAUUAUUGCACAGACUGUUAGAUGUAACCCAACUGAAACAUGGUGCUUUGGUAAUUCUCUGACCAAUUAAGAAACAACAAACAUGUUCUAAAGUCAUAUGGAGAAGUAUGAUCAAAAUAAGAAAAAGAAACUUCCGUUAGUAGAGGAUCACUGAAGGAACCAAUUACCUUUCACGUUCUCUUUGUUUCUGUUUUUCAUCACGGUCUCUUCCGGCCAUAAUUUGGAUGCUUCCUAGCUUAUACCACAAAGUUCUCAAUGUCG
This 5746-nucleotide long non-coding RNA is filed under the name Fragaria vesca (wild strawberry). Its description in RNAcentral is "long non-coding RNA (FVES_LNC002872)". Lineage: Eukaryota; Viridiplantae; Streptophyta; Magnoliopsida; Rosales; Rosaceae. The record is from RNAcentral.